Molecule: small nucleolar RNA, 107 nt
Filed under: Eutrema salsugineum
Lineage: Eukaryota; Viridiplantae; Streptophyta; Magnoliopsida; Brassicales; Brassicaceae
Description: Plant small nucleolar RNA R71
Rfam family: Plant small nucleolar RNA R71
About the family: R71 is a member of the C/D box family of snoRNAs containing the C (UGAUGA) and D (CUGA) box motifs.
Source: Rfam by way of RNAcentral
AAUCCAUGCUGAGGGCAUUGCAUGGUGUACCCGCUAAAUCUUUCACAAGCCUCACAAAAUGAUUCAUGAUUCUUCUGUAUGAAACUUGAGAUUUCAUUUCUCAACCU